GGCUUCACCAAGCUUACAUCAGGACUAACACACACCCGGGGAAACAACAUUAAACACAUAGGUCUCGCCAGGACCGACAGCAUCAGCAUGCACAAGCAUCUGAAAACAGGCGUAUAACCAGCAGUACUAAGGUAGACUAACAUGAGAAACUGGGCUACAUCAUGGAAAGGCAGCAGCAUUCAAGCAUCCGCCGCGGCAGGCUCGCUCAGGUCCGGGCCUCCUUCUCCCCCAUGCUGGAUGAGGGCAUCUUCAACCGCCGAGGCGAGAUCACAGUCAAGCUGGAACAGGGCACGCAAGGCCGCCACUGCCAUGUCCGGCAGUCGCCCCUGGAACAUCUCUGCAAACUUGACGAUAGCCUCCUCAGUGACUUGCUGACCAUCAGCAACGAUCCCCAUGCGGCGACAUAGAAGUUGCUCCGCGAGUUUGGCAAUUGGCAUCUUUCUCUUCUUAGCACGUAGCCGGGGGCUCUGUCUCUGUAGCUGAAAACCAGACACUCCAGCUAGAGUCUUCCUGCGUGUAGUUGGGCGUCUAGGGGGAGUGGAGCCUGGAGCUGGAGUUGGAAGCAGCGCCGGCAUACGCGGGAUGAAGAUGGGCGUGACAACUGCUUCUUCGUCUUCCAGCUGUUCUGGACGAUCAGAGAGGACCGUUGGUGACUCGUUGUUGGAGCUGUUGGAGUUCGCUUCAUGUUCUGCCUCCAAGCUUUGCUGAUUCGAUGCUGGCCUGCAGUUGCUGAUGAAGGAGUUGUCUUCAGGCUGUAACUCCAAACGGGGUGGUGUUGGUGUGGCCAGAACAAAUUCCGGUGUGGAGCUCGUUGUGGUUAUCCAGAGCAGCAAGGAGGGCGAGGUCGGAGUUGGGGCAGGCGUGGCCAACACAUCUUGCGUCGGCAGGAGCCUCUCGUUGCCGUCAUGCCGGUCAUCCAGUGUGAGGGAGGGCUGGACCUUGUUCACCAGGCCCGCGGUUCCACAGAGCCAACCCCAGCCAUAAGCAGAGGUAGCGAUCUCAAUCACAUCGCUGGACGUAGUGCGCGGAGAAGGCGGCAGCGAGCGCCCACGAGCCCGGCCCUCAGCAGGGCCCCCAUCCGCCGCGCGCUCCAGGGAGCCGUUCCGAGCACGGCGCCGUCCGUAGCGCCCACGGUCUUCGCGGCGCGAGUCCUGGCGAUCCUCGUCCGCGCGGCGCUCAGGCGCCCGUGACCUGCUGCGGAAGAAGCGGUCCCGCCAGGAGGUGGAGGACCGCGACCUGUCAUUGUCGCGUCCACGACGAUCUUCCCGGUCUCGGUCGUCAUCUCUGCGGUGGCGUUCGUCGUCGUCACGGUGGCGAGGAGGUGGCUCAUGGCGGUCCCUCGCUCUAUCCUCGCCGUCCACCACCCCAAAACGCCAGGUGAAUGGGUCGAUGAGUGGACGGCGCGGGAUGUUGCCGGCGGCGUCGGGCGUGUAGUCUUCGAUCCUGUCCAAGUGCACGAUGGCGCGUCGGCGAGAGCCUCUGUGUCCAAUGGCCGAGGACGGAGCACCUCCAACUCCAGUGGCAACCCGCGGGGCGAUGGUAACAUUCUGCACCUUGGGGAUGGCCGAGGGAUCAGCCGACCACGCCCACAGCCUGAGGCAGGAGGCGUCUUCCUGUCGAAGCGUGGCGACGUCGAAGUAAUGGACGAAGGUGUUCGGCCCCGGCACUUGAGCCGCGACGGAAUCAGACCAGGAGUUCAGAGGGAUGCUCUCGAUGCAGAGAUGGACAUGGUAGUUGGCUUGGAUCACGUCGGAGUGGGAGUCCAGCUUCCAGUUGGUGGCGUGGAUGUCUAGACCGUUGUGGCAGUGGCGUGGCCGAGGAUCUAGUCGUCUUCUUCGAUGAGAAUACGCGAGCGGACGGGUGGGACGCACGACGAUGGGGUGAGUCGGCGGCGGCAUCCGAACUGCGAUGUCCCCAGCGCCAGCGGCGUGCGCUCAUCGGCAUCCGCGGCGGCUGCGUUGGUAAGAAGUGCUCGUUGUGAGCGGCGAGGAUAGCAGGCGGCGGGCGAGGCUGAGUGUGCGAUCACGGGAGCCGAUUAGAGAGGAAGAAAACAAAAUGAGAGAAAAUUACGGAGGGGAUCAAGGUGAUGCAGGGCUGGAGUUAUUU
This 2106-nucleotide ribosomal RNA is filed under the name Triticum aestivum (bread wheat). RNAcentral's name for it is "partial small subunit ribosomal RNA". The record is from RNAcentral. Lineage: Eukaryota; Viridiplantae; Streptophyta; Magnoliopsida; Poales; Poaceae.